RNAcentral lists this ribosomal RNA (445 nucleotides) under uncultured bacterium. RNAcentral's name for it is "bacterial SSU rRNA". It matches the Rfam family "Bacterial small subunit ribosomal RNA", at positions 330 to 792 of the family's 1533-position model. The record is from RNAcentral.
GCCAGACUCCUACGGGAGGCAGCAGUGGGGAAUAUUGGGCAAUGGGGGAAACCCUGAUGCAGCAACGCCGCGUGAGUGAAGAAGUAAUUCGUGAUGUAAAGCUCUAUCAGCAGGGAAGAAAAUGACGGUACCUGAGUAAGAAGCCCCGGCUAACUACGUGCCAGCAGCCGCGGUAAUACGUAGGGGGCAAGCGUUAUCCGGAUUUACUGGGUGUAAAGGGAGCGUAGACGGCCAGACAAGUCUGAAGUGAAAAUCCAGCGCUUAACGUUGGAAGUGCUUUGGAAACUGCCGGGCUAGAGUGCAGGAGGGGCAGGCGGAAUUCCUAGUGUAGCGGUGAAAUGCGUAGAUAUUAGGAGGAACACCAGUGGCGAAGGCGGCCUGCUGGGCUGCAACUGACGUUGAGGCUCGAAGGCUUGGGGAGCAAACAGGAUUAGAUCCCCUGGUA